This 557-nucleotide long non-coding RNA is filed under the name Salmo salar (Atlantic salmon). RNAcentral's name for it is "lncRNA (ENSSSAG00000092817.1)". The record is from RNAcentral. Lineage: Eukaryota; Metazoa; Chordata; Actinopteri; Salmoniformes; Salmonidae.
CUUCUGUUGUGGAUUUCAGAUUUGAGGUAAAUAAUACUUUUUUUAAAUUGGUGAGGCAGGUUGCAGGAGAGUGUUUUGAAGUUGAGUUUUUAGAAAAUAAUAUAUAUAAAAGAUAUGCGAAGAAAAUAUGUAAAUAUAUAUAUACACGGGACAAGACGAGGACAAAGGACGUCUGACUUCUAUGCCAUCGUUUAAUGAAAGGGGUUGCAGUCUGCCGUGAAGAGUUCAUCCAUGUAUACGGCAUCAGUAGAACACGCCUGACUCUCCUCCACCAGUCAUACAAGGAGAAUGGUCUAAUGCCUCCCAUCAAAAAGAGAGCUGGCCCAAGCAAGCACAGGUUAUACCUCAAGCAUGAGGACUUGCAGCGAGUGGUGAACUUAAUCAACAACUACGCAGAGGAUAAUGCAAUAGUAUUACCAGGACGCCACCCAGGACACAAACACUUUGGUGGAAAGCUGCUGCCGUCCCAUUUGACAAAACAGCAGUGUGGCUUCUCUACAAGGAAUCGAUGACAACACUUGGACAGCACUGUGACAGGGAUCAACAUCACACAGCUG